This 400-nucleotide long non-coding RNA is filed under the name Actinidia chinensis (golden kiwifruit). Its description in RNAcentral is "long non-coding RNA (ACHI_LNC003498)". Lineage: Eukaryota; Viridiplantae; Streptophyta; Magnoliopsida; Ericales; Actinidiaceae. The record is from RNAcentral.
UCAUUAGAAUAUUUAAAAAUUUCGAAGACACCAAUAUAGAAUAAAACAUAACAAGCACUUAUAGACAGCUAUCUCACAAUGACAAAAACCUCACCACAAAACAAAUGCACACAUCUAAUCUUGAAUACAAUAAAUCAUGCAACUGAGAACAUGCUAAUACAUGUCCAAGCUGCAUCAUAUUUUGGCUUUAUGAGAAAGUUUGAGCAGAGGCAUGCAAGCUCAACCUUUUACGCAUUCACAACGUCUAAUAAUAUAUGACAUGCGUGUUCACAAAAAUCAAGGCAUGACCCCAAGUAUUUUCACCCCAAAUAGUGAAUAAUCAUUGUAUGAAUUUCCACUUACUACCACUAAAAAGUCUUUUAAGAAAAGGUCUAAUUUGACAACAGAGAUCAAGCCAUAU